This 409-nucleotide long non-coding RNA is filed under the name Mus pahari (shrew mouse). RNAcentral describes it as "lncRNA (MGP_PahariEiJ_G0005440.1)". The record is from RNAcentral. Lineage: Eukaryota; Metazoa; Chordata; Mammalia; Rodentia; Muridae.
GUUUCCUGAGUGGAACCUAUUGAACUCAGGGUCUAAUGGACAUGAUGAUGAGUCUGUAAAGUAGAGAGAGUACCAAGAUGAAUCCAUGAAACUGGCUCACAAGAACAGGAUUACUGCUUCUUAUUCUUACUGAUAUGAGUAAUUUCUAGUAUAUGAUCCUACUUUAGAAAAUAGUUUUGCUCUGUUUAACAUAAAAUGAAUACUUUGUUAUUACAUUUUUUUAUCUUAAUAAGGGACAAACAACAAUUUGGCAGCUUUUUUCUUGAAGACUGAUCAUUUGCCAUGCCCUCAUGGAGAAAGUGAGUUCAUAUCCUUUUCUUCUUGUACUUUGUUUCAUUCCCAUCCAUGCCUCCAUGUUGACAUUUGUGUGGCUCUCCUUUGAAAGAGUCAUUGUACAAUGAUAACUUAU